CUGGAGAGAAGAAUGAAGAAGUCAACAUCACUGUAUCAGAUAAUCGUGUGAUCCUGGAGAUCCCAGCACUUCCUGUGAGGACAGGAAGUGAUGUCACUCUACACUGUAAAAAGAAAACUGGUGGCACAGCCGCAGCUUAUUUCUACUUUAAUGGACGUCCAGUUAGGCCUAAAACAGAGAAAAACAUCACCAUUAACGUGCAGCAGUCUGAUGAAGGUCUCUACUGGUGUGCUACCGAUGAGUUUGGAUUAUCUCCUCAGAGCUUUCUGAGGGUCAGAGAUCCUGCUACACCAACACCACCGCCAACAAAAACAACAGCAAACAUCCAUAUCUCCUGUUCUCCUCCUCCUCCUCUUCCUAAUCCCUCCUUCAUCAUCCCAGUCAUAGUUACUGUAGGUUCUCUGGUCCUUGUGGUUCUGGUUCUGGUUGCAGUUCAGCUUCUUUGGAAGAAACACACAGGGAAACACCAGCCAGCAACUACAAAUGAUGUCACAUAUGCCGAGGUCACCAGUAGAGAGUCAGCCAAUAAGAUGUCAGUCGUCCAACCAGAAGUGAUUUACUCCAGCCUGAGCAUAAACACUACAGGUUAACAGGAGAGAAAACCAAGUGGUACCAAAGACCUACAGCUGGAGGAGGAACACUUCCAGAAAUGACUCUCUAUGAACACAGUUCACCAUGCCAUCUAUUCCAGGAGCGCAGCUUCAUAGUAGAAGAGUCAGGUGCUGAACUGGCCUGCCUGCAGUCCUGAUCUUUCAUCAAUGAAAACAUCUGGAGCAUCAUGAAACCAGAAGCAGGACAAAGAAGAGUCAGGACAGCUGAGCAGCUAAAACCCUCCAUCAGACACGGAUGGAGCAACAUCCCACUCCCAA
Oreochromis aureus is the source of this 869-nucleotide long non-coding RNA. The record is from Ensembl. Lineage: Eukaryota; Metazoa; Chordata; Actinopteri; Cichliformes; Cichlidae.